Molecule: ribosomal RNA, 216 nt
Filed under: Glomeromycotina sp.
Lineage: Eukaryota; Fungi; Glomeromycota
Description: partial small subunit ribosomal RNA
Rfam family: Eukaryotic small subunit ribosomal RNA (bases 75-216)
Source: RNAcentral
GGGUCAGUAGGUUGGUCGUGCCACCGGUACGUACUGGUCUCACUGAUACCUCCUUCCUGAAGAACCGUAAUGCCAUUAAUUUGGUGUUGCGGGGAAACAGGACUGUUACUUUGAAAAAAUUAGAGUGUUUAAAGCAAGCUAACGCCUGAAUACAUUAGCAUGGAAUAAUGAAAUAGGACGAUCGAUCCUAUUUUGUUGGUUUCUAGGAUUGACGUA